AUUCCAAUUGGACUCUUAAUAUCUCACCCGGCACAGCCAGAAGAGGACUGGUCACCCCUCUGAGCCUGGGUCCUCUCUAGGUUUCUUCCUAAAAUUCGGGCUUCUUAGGGAGUUUUUCCUAGCCACUGAAAUUCAACACUACUGUUGUUUGCUCCUUUGGGUUUAAGGCCGGGUGUCUCUGUAAAGCACUUUGUGACAACUGCUGUUGUAAAAAGCGCUUUAUAAAUACAUUUUGAUUGAUUGAUUGACUUGUUUUUAUUUAUAACAAUAUUUUAAAACCCCAACCGCGACACAAUCCACCUUUGCGAAAUGUGUGGUUGGCCCUGGGCCAUGGAUACUCCUUCAAAAUAAUAGCAUUGCUCAUGCGAUGUUAGUUUGCUGUAAUGCUGUGUUGGACUACAAACCGUGAGAUACGGGAUGAUUUCAACCUGCAUAUAUUACAGUUUGUAUUAGUGGUUAUUUAAGGACCAUUACUACUGGGCAGAUAUAACCUUGAAGCCCAUCUCUUGUUAAAAUGAAUGUUGGGCUGAAAACUAUCCAAAAUCGUAAGUCCCUCCCCAUCCUCUUCUUUAUAUCUUACAGAAAAAACAUGUAUCCCACGUGUAACUCCGUGCUUCUGGAAAAACACCAUGGUACAACCACAUUGUAAAACAUGGACGUUUACAUCUGUACUAUCCAAAAUGGAAGUUUACAUCUGUACCACAUGGCAUUGGAACCCUGCCACCCUUUUGUUUAACACCAAACAACUUAGGUACCAAAGGGAAAUUCCCAACACUGGGAAUUUAACAUUCCGGAACCCUAAGCCCCAUUUGUUAAUUAACAUUCCGGAACCCUAAGCCCCAUUUGUUAAUCAUCAAACAUAACCCACCUGUUAUAACACUGGUUUGCUCAUCAGGUGUUGUAAAACAUCAAACACUGACACAUCAAUGUAAUCAUAAAUCACAAAGUCACCGGACAUGCAUACGUCACUCCUGAAGUCCCACCCUAACAUACGUCAUACCGGAAGUCCCACACUAACAUACGUCAUACAGGAAGUCCCACCCUACAAACCGGAUGUCCCGCCCACCUGUCACAUCAAUAUGGAAGUCCCGCCCCCCAGAGCCAUAAAUCACCAUUCUGACCCAUUAUACCCUACACUAACUACUCAUCUGGACUGACUCAUAGGAACAGGGACACUUGACUUUGGGACUCUGGGGUCAUAGCAGAGCACAGACAUUAUUACAAACAUAGCUAUGUAUUCAUUUGACCAUGGUUAUACUAAUUCAUCCAGUUUGGCAACAUUACCCUAAUUUAUCCAUAAACAAUAUAGAGAAAGGUUUUAAUAAUCUUAGCUAAUGGCACUACAAAACUCAUUUUUGUUUGUUCACGUUUUCCAUUUUUUCUAAAUGUAUCAUUGUUUGAAACAAUUGUAAAUCACUUGUGAUAACUUUAUACAACUCAGGUAUUUAUUUUUGACAUUAAGUCCCACCAUUUCAUUAUUAGUUGAGUAUUAUUUUUAGUAUUGCAGUAGCCUAGACCAGGAUAAUAGGUAAACUGAUGCAAUGUUUUGUCUUCUCCUUUCUCCUGUAAGGACUGUGUGAGGCGGGACCUCUAGCUCAAUACAUGGACACGAUUUGGGAACAACCAUGUGAAGUGAAACCUCCUGCAACCUUUCCCUUUGCAACAGACCUGGGGCACAAAGAGGCUUGCUACAGAAGAAGAUGAGACUGUGUUUCUGUCAAAGUUUCUACAGCAUGAAGAUCAGGGCAGAGAGGCCUUUGGGUCGAUACGGACAGGGACAACAACAGGACCAUGUGCCAGAAAUGUCUACUGGAGGAAAUGGAAGGAUUCCUUUGGGAGGCCCCAACCAAGUCCUGCUGACCAGGAAAACAACGGAAAAGAUAACUGAUCCAGGUUCCUGCAGAGGAAGCAACCACUGACUGAUUGUGUGUUAAUGUUGUUGUGUUUUCAACUUUUGUUUGCACCGCUAAUGUUGUUGUGUUGUGCAACGUAGGAGCCAGCUAUGAAGAGGAAAUGUUACUGACCGACCCACCAACCUCCCCCACCCAUCCAUUGUUAAAUAAAGUAGUGGUUAGAAACGUGGACUGUGGUUCAAGCCUCACCACAGACCUAACAAAUUAGGCAUUAGGAUUUGUUCAUAUUGCUCUUGUUUUCGAAUGACGAGUUUGGUCUCUACUUAAGAGUGAUCACUGGUGGCGUUAUAUCUUCAACAAAACAGUGAUGUAGACUGGGAGAAACAUUUUUACAAAUGAAAAAGACGACAUUCAUCUACUUGUCCAGCAAUCAGCAGGACAGACACGUCACUGCGUCCAGCAAUAUAAGGUGAGAGGAGAGUGGCCAUGACUCUAUGGGGUUUGGCCACCAAUGUUGAAUACAGAACCAUUGCCCAACUGUUUGGUGUGGGUGUGUCCACAGUCUGCACAGCUGUGCACCAGGUCAGUAAGGUAUCACAUAAACACCCAGCACUUUAUUACCCUACUAUUUCAGUGCUAGGAAACAACUGAGAUUAUUAUAUCUGAGAUCAUUAUAAUACAUGGCAUAACAAAAACAUAUAACCUAAAAGCAAGAUGGGGCAGCAGGGUAGCCUAGCUAUUAGUUAAAGUGCCAGUAACAGAAAAGUUGCUGGCUUAAAAUGUCAAAGCCAUUAAGGUGAUUUGUUGAUCUGGAAAAAAUAAAAGUUUAAUUAUGAAGCAUGAUAUAGCAAGGGACAUUAUUGCUAUGUUGCUGUCAAUUAUGAUCCCUG
This is a long non-coding RNA of Esox lucius (northern pike), 2743 nucleotides long. The record is from Ensembl. Lineage: Eukaryota; Metazoa; Chordata; Actinopteri; Esociformes; Esocidae.